This 444-nucleotide ribosomal RNA is filed under the name uncultured bacterium. RNAcentral's name for it is "bacterial SSU rRNA". It matches the Rfam family "Bacterial small subunit ribosomal RNA", at positions 355 to 822 of the family's 1533-position model. The record is from RNAcentral.
UGGGGAAUAUUGGACAAUGGGCGAAAGCCUGAUCCAGCAAUGCCGCGUGAGUGAUGAAGGCCUUAGGGUUGUAAAGCUCUUUUACCAGGGAUGAUAAUGACAGUACCUGGAGAAUAAGCUCCGGCUAACUCCGUGCCAGCAGCCGCGGUAAUACGGAGGGAGCUAGCGUUGUUCGGAAUUACUGGGCGUAAAGCGUACGUAGGCGGUGACUCAAGUCAGAGGUGAAAGCCUGGAGCUCAACUCCAGAACUGCCUUUGAAACUAGGUCGCUAGAAUCACGGAGAGGUGAGUGGAAUUCCGAGUGUAGAGGUGAAAUUCGUAGAUAUUCGGAAGAACACCAGUGGCGAAGGCGGCUCACUGGACGUGUAUUGACGCUGAGGUACGAAAGCGUGGGGAGCAAACAGGAUUAGAUACCCCCGUAGUCCCUGAGCGGGCUGGCAAGGCG